Molecule: long non-coding RNA, 2593 nt
Organism: Pan troglodytes (chimpanzee)
Lineage: Eukaryota; Metazoa; Chordata; Mammalia; Primates; Hominidae
Exons: 4
Source: RefSeq, a predicted model, not a curated record
UCCAUCAUAAACAGAAGAUGGCAGUGGAAAUCUUUUCUAGAGAAACUGCACUAGCAGGGACUGGAAUGGAACAUGUUAGGACAAGGCAAUUUCUCAGGGAUCAAAGGUACAUCAUGGCAAACUCAUUCCUGCACUUUGGUCUCACGGUCUUUCAAAAGCUGAAUAGUAUUCCAUUGCCUUCUUCCAUUCAUCUGCUUAUGGACACCUAGGUUGAUUCCAUAUCUUGGCUAUUGUGAAUAGUGCUGCAGUAAACAUGGGAUGAUGGGGCAGAGGCCAACCAGGCCUCGCUCUCCAGGGAGAUCACUGGAGAACAAGACAAUGUGUCCACCACUCAAGCAUAUUGAGAACUGCGCUUGCGUCAAGCAUAUUGAGAGCUGCUGCUUGCGUCACACCUGCUAAUUUCCAGUGGCCAAAGCAUGUCACAUAGCUAAGCCCAAAGGUAGGAAAAUAUAUUCCACUCUGAGGAAAAGGUGGGAGGGAGUGUUUGCUGAACAAUAACCCAGUCCAACUCAAAGCAGUAAACUUUUGUAAUGGGAUAGAGUUUGUGAUUAAUAGAACAUUUUUUCUUUGAUCACCAAAACAUAGCAAAUGUAUCUUGAUAAUUCCUCUUAACUAUGUUGUUUAUUUGAUAUAAAAGAGGAAAAACUAUUAGUGGACCUGGUUGGGGAAUGGGUCACUCUAAUUACCUGAUCGUUCCUACUAAGUGGAGGUUAACCCUUCCUAUGAAUUGCAUCUGCCUUGACUCUGGACCAUGUACAUGACUACUCAGAUGAGGUGGCCAUAUGUAUCACAUCUGGACUUUUUUCUAGGCUCAUAAGGUUGUUUUGGAUAUUGUCUUCAUUGUCCACUUUCUAAAAAUUGCACUUUGCAAGUCAUCUUUAGGUUAGGAAUCAGGAUGGUAUUCAUAGUGACAGUAUACUCAUAAAAAUACAAAUGUCUCUGAUAAUUGUGUUGGGUUUCAAUAAACUUUAUUCUUUAGAACAGCUUUAGGUUCAUGGUAAAAUUGAGCAAAAGUUUUCAGAGAGUUCCCAUAUAUCUUCUGUCCCUGGCACAGUCACAGCCUCCCCCAAUAUCAGCAUCUCCCACCAGAGUGGUACAUUUAUUAUAAUAGAUGAAUCUACAUUGACAGAUCAUUAUCACCCAGAGUCCAUAAUUUACAUUAAUGUUCACUCUUGACAUUGUACACUCUAUAGCUUUGGAAAAACGUAUAAUGACAUGUCUCCACCAUUAGAGUAUCAUACAGAAUAGUUUCACUGCCCUAAAAACCCUCUGUGCUCUGCCUAUUCAUUUCCCCCUUUCCCCUAAACCCUGGCACCCCCUGAUCUUUUACUGGCUCCAUAGGUUAGCCCUUCCAGAAUGUUGCAUAGUUGCAAUCAUACAUACACAUGGAGCCUUUCAGUUUUUCUUCUUUCACUUAGUAAUAUGCAUUUAAGGUUUCUCCAUGUCUUUUCAUGGCUGAAUUGCUCCUUUCCUUUUAGUGCUGAACAUUAUUUUACUGUCUGGAGGUACCACGGUUUAUUUUUCCGUUCACCUACUGAAGGACAUUUUAGUUGUUUCCCACUUUGGGCACUUAUGAAUAAAGUUGCCAUAAACAUUCAUGUGCAGGCUUUUGUGUGGACAUGUGUUUUCAGUUCCUCUGGGUAAAUACCAAGGAGCACGAUUGCUGGAUCAUAUGGUAAGAAAAUGUUUAGUUUUGUAAGAAACUGCCAAACUGUCUUCCAAAGUGGCUGUAUCAUUGGCAUUCCCAUCAGCAAUGAAUGAGAAUUCCUGUUACUCCUCAUCCUUAACCAGCAUUGGGUGUUGUCAGGGUUCUGGAUUUGGGGCAUUCUAAUAGGUGUAUAGUAGUAUCUUGAUGCUGUUUUAUUUUGCAUUUCCCUGAUGACAGGAUGUGGAGCAUCUUUUCAAAUGUUUAUUUGCCAUCUAUACCUUUGUUGGUGAGGUGUCUGUGUAGUUCUUUGGUCUGUUUUAAAACUGGAUUGUUUUUGUACUUAUUGCUGAAUUUUAAGAUUUAUUUGUGUAUUUUGAGUAACAGCCCUUUAUCUGAUAUAUCUUUUGCAAACAUUUUCUCCCAGUCUUUGGCUUGUCUUUUCAUUUUCUUGACGGGAAACUUUUAAUUAAACAGAAUAAAGCAAAAAAACAAAAAAGUUUUGAAUCAGACAUUAAAUAUAAAAUCUCAGAAACCGUAAGCACGUCUGAGACAUUAGGUUUCUUUAAAAAGUGAUCAUCAAGGUAAUCAAAGUGCUUAUGAAUUUCUUGACAAAAUUAGAAAGCUUUAAAAACUAACAUCAAUUGUUAGUAAAUUAUAUGAAGGGGGGAUCAUAUCUGUCUCGUUCACCCCUAUAUCCCUGGCAGAGUGCCUGGCAUACAGUAAGUGUUCAAAAAAUAUUUUUAAGUGAACGAAUGUUCAUUGUGGGUUAGCAACAUUAUAGAUGUUAUUUUAUUUAAUCUCCUUGGUAAUCUUAAAAGUUAGAUUUUGGCUGGGCAUGGUGGCUCACGCCUGUAAUCUCAGCACUUUGGGAGGCCGAGGCGAGCAGAUCACAAGGUCAGGAGAUAAAGACCAUCCUGGCUAACACAGUGAAACCCCGUCUGUACU